RNAcentral lists this transfer RNA (72 nucleotides) under Guillardia theta. RNAcentral describes it as "tRNA-Asn". It matches the Rfam family "tRNA". Rfam says of the family: Transfer RNA (tRNA) molecules are approximately 80 nucleotides in length. Their secondary structure includes four short double-helical elements and three loops (D, anti-codon, and T loops). Lineage: Eukaryota; Cryptophyceae; Pyrenomonadales; Geminigeraceae. RNAcentral also lists the same sequence under 1 other name. The record is from RNAcentral.
UCCUCAGUAGCUCAGCGGUAGAGCGAUCGACUGUUAAUCGAUUGGUCGUAGGUUCAAGUCCUACCUGGGGAG